UACGUAGGGUGCAAGCGUUGUCCGGAAUUAUUGGGCGUAAAGAGCUCGUAGGCGGUCUGUUACGUCGGCUGUGAAAACUCGGGGCUCAACCCCGAGCCUGCAGUCGAUACGGGCAGACUAGAGUGCUGUAGGGGAGACUGGAAUUCCUGGUGUAGCGGUGAAAUGCGCAGAUAUCAGGAGGAACACCGGUGGCGAAGGCGGGUCUCUGGGCAGUAACUGACGCUGAGGAGCGAAAGCGUGGGGAGCGAACAGG
Molecule: ribosomal RNA, 253 nt
Filed under: uncultured bacterium
Lineage: Bacteria
Description: partial 16S ribosomal RNA
Rfam family: Bacterial small subunit ribosomal RNA
Source: RNAcentral